Non-coding RNA from Pelobates cultripes (western spadefoot toad), 94 nucleotides. The record is from the annotation of a GenBank genome assembly. Lineage: Eukaryota; Metazoa; Chordata; Amphibia; Anura; Pelobatidae.
AGAAUCGGCGGUCAUCUAUGGCAUCGCAUAUCCGCAUGUAUCCUGAGGGACACAUGCGGAUAUGCGAUGCCAUAGAUGACCGCCGAUUCUCCAU